This 207-nucleotide ribosomal RNA is filed under the name uncultured bacterium. RNAcentral describes it as "partial 16S ribosomal RNA". It matches the Rfam family "Bacterial small subunit ribosomal RNA", at positions 568 to 774 of the family's 1533-position model. The record is from RNAcentral.
CGCGCAGGUGGUUCCUUAAGUCUGAUGUGAAAGCCCACGGCCCAACCGUGGAGGGUCAUUGGAAACUGGGGAACUUGAGUGCAGAAGAGGAAAGUGGAAUUCCAAGUGUAGCGGUGAAAUGCGUAGAGAUUUGGAGGAACACCAGUGGCGAAGGCGACUUUCUGGUCUGUAACUGACACUGAGGCGCGAAAGCGUGGGGAGCAAACA